CUCAACAUACAAUUAGAACCUAUUUGAACAGAAAUGAAACUCAAUCAGAGAAAUUAAACUCAACAGAUGCGAAAUCAACACAAGACAUUUAAGGAAAAUGAUAAACAACGCAAAUCAAAAGAAACACAAGCUCAGAAUCAAACUGAAACAAAACACAAAACUAAUAACAGAGACAAAGACGCGAAUCAAAAUGACAGAUCAACAUAACAACGCGGAUCAACACAAACCGAAUCGGAAAAUAUAAAACAAGAUAGAGAAGACAUACUUAUCUUUGUCGCGUGGACGCAACCUUGCUCUAACUACCAUAUGAUACACGAAGCCUUGAGGAGAACGCCGAUUGGAACAGUGCGACGACGAAUCUAGAGCUCCUCGAAGCUUCUCCGAAGAGAAGACACAGCAGAAUGAUGAAGGAAGCUCUAGACCGAGAGAAUAUCAUAAGCGAACAGAAGAAACUUAAAAAUCAUGAACGAACCCUAAUCGGACAUGAAGAAACCCUAUAAGAAGGGGGAAACUCGAUUUGGACCGAUUAAANGAUAGAAAUCGAAAAUCAAUCGGUGGAAAAUAGUUUAAACGGUAGAAAAAUGGUUUUGAUCGGUUGAAUUUGAAGGAAAGUGAAAAAAUGAGAAGGAAAACCUAGGUUUGAGGAAGAUGAUCGGUGGAAAAGAUGAACUGAUGAGAAGGAAUAAAGAUCUGAGACGAUAAUGGNCAGAUNUNUGGAGAAAAAUGGGUUUUACCGUUGAAAAGAGGCAACAAUGAUGAAUCUNUGAUGAACUGNAGGAGAGGAGCUCUUCGAGAGAGAAGAUGCUCUCGAGGUAUCUAGGAGAUGAAAAUGAAAUGGUGCGUGUUUGCGAAAUGAAGAGAAGGAUGUGCUGAUUUUUGGAAGGGCUGACGCAGGCAGAGGAGGUGGCAGCGAGAGAGUGGUUCAGCGUGUAUGAGUGAGAAGCACCGUGGAAAUUAAUGGAAUAAUGAAAUAAUGAAGUGUGCUUUGGAAGGAGGCUAGAGGUCUUUGGACUCUCUAGCCAAGGACUUUCAAGAGAGAAUUAAUUCUGGAUUUCAGAAAUUUAAUUCUCAUUCAGCUCAAAAGUAAUUACAAGAUGUGUUAGCAUGCCUAUAUAUAGGUCUAAAUGUACCACAUGCCUAACACAUUGUACACAUGUCUAUUACAAGUAAAAGAAAGACUACACUAAAGAAAUUGGGCUUAGGCCCCACGUAUCAGAAACUCUUGCAAAAAAUAAAAAAUAAAUGCAAGAAAAAAUGUAGAAACUGUGACAAAAUAUUAUAGUGUAAAAUAUGAAUGAAUAUGCAAAUGACAUUAUAAUGCUGUAAUAUGUUUAAUGAAUAUGUAAAACAUCAUGAAAAUAUAAAUGGAACAUGAUCUAAUUGGAACAUUGUGAAAAUGC
This 1400-nucleotide long non-coding RNA is filed under the name Vigna radiata. RNAcentral describes it as "long non-coding RNA (VRAD_LNC014676)". The record is from RNAcentral. Lineage: Eukaryota; Viridiplantae; Streptophyta; Magnoliopsida; Fabales; Fabaceae.